Odocoileus virginianus texanus is the source of this 2682-nucleotide non-coding RNA. The record is from RefSeq and is a predicted model, not a curated record. Lineage: Eukaryota; Metazoa; Chordata; Mammalia; Artiodactyla; Cervidae.
CCCCAGGUCACCAUCUGUAAGAUAAGAGGAAUGGGAUUAGAACAGCCAUUCUUAACCUUUAACAUACAGUAGAAUUGCAUGUGAAGCUUUUUGGAAAAAAAAGCAAUCCUGGGAUCUCACCCCAAGAUAUUUCAAAAGCUUCUAAGGUGAGUUUGUUGCUUGACAGGCGUUAGGAAUUUCAGGGCUUACGUGUUCUUUAGGUUUCCUUCUAGAUCUGACAUCCAAUGAGGUAAAUUUAUUUACCAGUGCAUUUUGCCUAGACCCAUCCCUGUGGCUUUUGGUGAAGUCCUGCUGUCUGUGGUCAGUAAUUACAUCAAAUGUGAGGUCCUUGUCAUGAUGCUCUGGAUACAGCAAUUGCUGGUGGCAGUGGUCCUGGGUGCCUGACUUGGCCUCAUUGUGAGUCAUAGAAAUAACCAAGAGCAAUUUGCCUUCCCAAAUACUUCCCUCUCUACUGAGGACAGAAAUAACUGAAAAUAAGGAACAAGCUAUGUGAGUAAAUAGCAUACGUAUGGUGUAUUCCUAAGCACUGAAAUCUGUGACUGUGUGUGUGUGAAAGAGAGACAGAGGGAGAGGGGCAGAUGGAGAGAGAAUGCUUGAUGUUUUAAAAGCCCGUUUCCCCCUAGACAGCUGGUCAAAUUCCUAUCUUGUGAGGCUACUUUAAACAAGAUGGGAAGAGAUACCAAAUACUUUUAGGGGAAGUCUUGAGUUCCGUACUUUCUGUUUACAAGAAAAAUGUAGACAUUUGACCUUCUCCUUGAGUAUUAGCAGUUCGUCACUCCCAUUCCUUUUUAUCUCUCUUGAGCUGCCAAACUCCUUCCUAAAGUGGGAGAAGGCGAAGCUAAAAUUAUAAGCCUGGCCUCCACUUAAGAAAAAAUAGAGAAAGAAACCUCACAAAUGUAAAUGAAUUAACACUCACUGUUACCUAAUAUGCAGUGUUCAAAACAGCAGGGAGAGUUGCUUGCUUCCUAUUUUAGUUUAGUUACAAAAUCAGUCUUCAGCGCAUGGUUUUGUGGCCAUCUUAUGAGCGUGUGUGCUAACUCACUUCAGUCAUGUCUGACUCUUUGUGACCCCAUGGACGGUAGCCCGAAAGUCUCCUCUGUCCAUAUAAUUCCCCAUUCAAGAAUACUGGAGUGGGUUGCCAUGCCCUCUCCUCAAAGCUUCCUUUUACUAGGUAUGAAAUCAUUUUAUUCCAUAAAUCUUAUAACAUUUUGGCUUUUGAGUUUACUUUAUCUAAUGAUUUUCAUGUCUUAUUUCCCUUCAUCCCACUUAUCUUUAUGCACAAUUUUCUGCUGUAUAGUUUUUCACAUUUUAGUAUCUCUGAAAUCAGGAAGCACCUCACAACCAGUGGUAUCUGAAGUUCAGUGAAAUAUGUUCAGUGGCGUUAAGUGUAUUCACGUGGCUGUGAAUACAUCACCGUUAUCCAUCUCCAGAAGGAUGAUCAAAUCGCACUGUAGAAAUUCAAUACCUCCAAGAUGUCAGAGAGCAGAAAGAAUUAUAUAUGGACAACUGUUGAAGAGGUUGCUAAAGUAUGCCAGCUAGAGGUCAAGAGUCCCCUUCUGCCCCCGUGACUCUCAGACACUUGCUGAUCUUCUUGUAAAUGCUCUUCCUAAUGCCAUCUAAAAUUUUUGCUUUAUUGGACCAACCCUACAUUCUUAAUCUCUACAGAAUUACCCUUCUCUUCCUUGCCUUAACUAAAAUUUGGUUUUUUGUUUUGUUUUGUUCUCUCAAGAAUUCACUUCUACUGACCCCCUUGAGCAGAGGUAAUUGAUCAUCCCACUGGACUAGAACUAAUCCACUUAAAAACCAUUUCUAGCCACCUCCCUCUUCCUUUGAGGACCAUCCAACCCUCCCCCUCAUCUUCCAGGCUUCAUUUAUUCUUCCCUCUUCGAAUUAUACUCUACUGAAUGUUUUUGGCAAUUAUCAUUUAGAUGCUAAAUCCAAUGGGUUUCAUGUUUUAACUUGGGACAUUUGAUUCUAUUGACCCAUUGUUUCUUCACAGAUUCUCCAGAAAUUAUUUUUUCCUGUUUCUCUUCAUAUGCCUCUGGCCAUUCUUCUCAAUCUCUUUUGCAAAUUCUUCCUACCCCCACUUCUUAAAUAUUUUCUGUUUGCAGCUGGCCUGUUUGAAUCAAGAUCUGGACAAGGUCCACACACUGCAUGUAGUUGAAGCCUCUUGGAAAAAAUCUUCAGGUCCCUGCGCCUUUUAACACAGGCACAUCCAGCAAAAGCAGAUGAGAACCUGGCUCUGUUUCAAAGACGCUUCUGCUGGUUUAGAGAGCGGGUCGCGAAAAUUCAGCUGCGGCGCCAUCUUCUGGAAGCGCCGCGACGCUGCAAGGAGCUUGCCGGGGAAGGAGGAGACAGGUUGCAGGUGAACGUCCGGCCCUUUGCCCAGAGAAGGCUCUGACACCAAGGGACAGUGAAGAGUCACUGAAGGUUUCCGAGUGAGGGAGUGAAAAUGAGCCCCAUCGUUGCCUGCAUCUGAGAAUGAGGAGCAGUGCCGGGCCUGCAGGGAGACACGUGGAGGUACUCCCUCCUUCAGAACUGGCGGCCUGGCUGACAGGUGCAAAAGCAAGUAACAGUAGUGAGUGCUUGGCUAAGCGUGGGGGAACGAAAAGGAAUCAGUGUGAGAGAACGUGGAGGGGCUUCUCUGGUGGCUCAGUGGUGAAGAGCCUACCGGCUAAUGCA